CUAACGUUAGUAAGUCAGCUAAGAACGUAACGUUAGCUAAUUACACAACUUAGCUACCUAGCUAGUUAGCUGGAGGCCUCCCAUACCUCCAACCACUGUGUCAAGCAACACAUCUCGGACCAGUCUGAUGAAAUUGAUGUGAACCCUUCUUCAAACUCCGAGGUGGCACGCACCAUGCAAAAGAAUGACCGGUCCGGGGACGAAAGCCAGCGGGACAGUGUGUCCGAUGAUUCAUCUGACUCCCCAGAGCCGGGGCCAGUCA
RNAcentral lists this long non-coding RNA (262 nucleotides) under Sander lucioperca (pikeperch). RNAcentral describes it as "lncRNA (ENSSLUG00000010637.1)". Lineage: Eukaryota; Metazoa; Chordata; Actinopteri; Perciformes; Percidae. The record is from RNAcentral.